GGCCUGUCACACUGUUCCCGCGCUGGGCGACCGCCACCGCUUCUUCGGAUCGCCAAGAGUCUACCUAGAGCGCUGUGCGUCUCCCCGACGCAAGCCCGCGAGCCUGCUUUCCUGAGUAAGCGUCCGUCGGCCGCAGUAUCUGCAAAAUGGCUGAUAAUUUGGAUGAAUUUAUUGAAGAGCGAAAAGCCAAAUUGGCCAGAGACAAAGCAGAAUUGGAAAGUGAUCCACCUUACAUGGAAAUGAAGGGAAAGGCAUCAGAGAAGCUUUCUGAAAACAGUAAAAUAUUAAUCUCCAUGGCUAAGGAAAACAUACCACCAAAUAGUCAACAGACCAGGGGAUCCUUAGGAAUUGACUAUGGAUUAAGUUUACCACUUGGGGAAGACUAUGAACGGAAGAAACAUAAACUAAAAGAAGAAUUGCGGCAAGAUUACAGACGCUACCUUACUCAGGGUAUUACACAAGCAAAAAGAAAGAAAAAUUUUCUAUCCACGAGUGAAACAGAUCCAUCUACUCUGGGAGUUUCUCUUCCUAUUGGUGAGAGGUUAUCUGCCAAGGAAAGGUUGAAACUUGAACGCAACAAAGAAUACAAUCAGUUUCUCAGGGAUAAGGAAGAAUCCAUUGAAAAGUUCAGACAGGUAGAAAGGAGUGCUGAGCACAAGAAUCAAAGAAGUAAAAAACCUAUCAGUCAAGUUAAACCUGACUUACCUUCACAAAUACAGUCAUCUUGCGAAAAUUCAGAGGGUCCUAGGAAAGAUGUCUUAACUCCUUCAGAGGCGUAUGAAGAGCUUCUAAACCAAAGACGGCUAGAAGAGGACAGAUACCGAAAACUAGAUGAUGAAAUUGAAUUAAGGAAUAAUAGAAGAAUCAUUAAAAAAACUAAUGAAGAAGUGGGCAUUUCCGAUAAAAAACAUCAAAGGUUUGUCAGCAAAACUGACAUUCCAGAUAGAAGAUUUCACAGGUUUAACGAGGAUCAUACUUUUGAUAAACAGUAUUAUAGACCAGGCCAAGAUCCUGAAGUAAGUGAAGAAAUGGACGAGAGGUUUAGAUAUGAAAGUGAUUUUGAUAGAAGACUUUUGAGAGUGUAUACAAAUGACAGGAUGUACGGGAACAGACGAGGGAAUGUGCCUCCUAUGGAGUAUGGUGGUGAUGUCACAGAACAGUCAAACAUACGAAUUUCAUCUGCUGGAAAUCAAAGCGCUCAAGACAAUGAACCAUCCAAACCUACUAACAGAGAGAUGUGUAGUCCUUUUGCAGGGAUGCUCUUUGGAGGUGAAGAUCGAGAACUUAUUCAGAGAAGGAAGGAGAAAUAUAGACAAGAGCUCUUAGAACAAAUGGCUGAACAACAGAAGAACAAGAGACGAGAAAAAGAUUUGGAUCUCAGGGUUGCAGCUUCUGGAGCACAAGAUCCCGAGAAAUCGCCUGAUAGACUAAAGCAGUUUAGUGUGGCACCAAGACACUUUGAAGAGACAAUACCACCUGAAAGACCCAGAGUAGCUUUCCAGACACCUCUCCCUCCUUUGUCAGCCCCAUCUGUCCCACCCAUCCCAUCAGUUUACUCCAUCCCAUCUCAAAAUGAAGAUUUGCACAGUGGACUCAGCAGCACCCUUGGUGAAAUGGUGCCUCCCAGGAUUGCACCUCUGCCUCCACCUCCCCUGCUACCACCUUUGGCUACCAACUAUCGCACUCCUUAUGAUGAUGCAUACUACUUUUAUGGGACCAGGAAUACUUUGGAUCCUAGUCUUGCCUAUUAUGGCUCAGGAAUGAUGGGAGUACAGCCUGCAGCUUAUGUUACAGCUCCUGUCACCCACCAGCCAGCACAGCCUGUUGUGAGUACGGUUGGACAGAAUGAACUGAAAAUUACAAGUGAUCGAGCAAUAAAUUCUGGAUUGUUUUUUGAAGAUAAACCAAAGCCUUCAAAACAGUCACUUCAGUCUUACCAAGAAGCUUUGCAGCAGCAGAUUCGAGAAAGAGAAGAAAGAAGAAAGAAAGAACGUGAAGAAAAAGAAGAAUAUGAAGCAAAAUUAGAGGCUGAAAUGAAAAGUUAUAACCCCUGGGGGAAAGGUGGAGGUGGUGCUCCUCUGAGAGAUGCAAAAGGAAAUCUGAUAACUGAUUUGAAUAGGAUGCACAGACAAAAUAUAGAUGCCUACCAUAACCCAGAUGCAAGAACAUAUGAAGAUAAAAGGGCUGUUCUAUCUCUAGACCAAAAUUUAGCCACUUCAAAUGCUGAGAACCUAGAAGAUUCUGCAAAUAAAAACUCAGGUCAUAUGCAAACACAGAGCUCUCCUUUUGCUCGGGGAAAUAUUUUUGGUGAGCCUCCAACUGAACUUCAGAUUAAACAGCAGGAAUUAUACAAGAAUUUUCUUCGUUUUCAGAUUGAAGAAAAGAAACAAAGAGAAGAAGCAGAGCGAGAGAGAUUGAGAAUUGCUGAAGAAAAAGAAGAAAAACGGCUUGCAGAACAGAGAGCACGAAUUCAGCAAGAGUUUGAAGAGGAACAGGAAAAGAAAAGGGAGAAAGAGGAGGAGCAAAGGCUGAAAAAUGAAGAGCUUAUUCGGUUAGCUGAAGAAAGACGAAAAGAAGCAGAAAGAAAGAAGAAAGAAGAAGAAGAAAAGCAUAACCUGCAACUUCAGCACUACUAUGAAAGAGAAAAUAUAAUUGGGGAAGAAACAAAGCACUUGAGACAGCCUUCUCCUGUAGUUCCUGCUCUUCAGAACAAGAUUGCAGGCAAACUCCAAAGACCGCCUUCAGUUGACAACAUUAUAACUUCCUUUAUUCAAGAACGUUCCAUGUCCAGGGCACAGUCUCCUCCGGUACCUGCCAGGAAAAAUCAGCUUCGUGCAGAAGAGGAGAAAAAAAAUGUAAUUAUGGAAUUAUCAGAAAUGAGAAAGCAGCUUCGUAGUGAAGAGCGGCGUCUGCAAGGGCGGUUGCUACACAUGGACAGUGAAGAUGAAGUUCAUAUAAGGAAAAGAGAAAGGAAUCCCAUGGAUGUAUUUGACAUGGCCAGACGUCGUUUACAGGCUCCAGUCAGAAGACAGUCACCUAAGGGCCUAGAUGCCACUACUUUUCAGAAUAUUCAUGACUUUAAUGUGCUGAAAGAUAGAGAUUCAGAAACACGAGUUGAUCUGAAAUUUAUGUACCCGGAUCCUCCAAGAGAUUAUCACACCUUAGAGAUUCAGCAGCAAGCCUUGCUGAGAGAGCAGCAGAAGAGACUGAAUAGAAUGAAAAUGCAGGAAGGUGCUGAAGUUGACUUGGAUGCUGUCCCAAGCACUAAAGUACGAGACCACAGAGUGAGAUGAAGAAGCAGGAAAAACAGGUUUCAGGGUGAGGGAGAAGGUCAGCAACUUAGUUACAGUCAUGGUAAGUUUGCGAUGCCUGCUAGACAAACAGCUGGAGCUGGUGAGUAGACGGAUAAGAGAAAGAGUUUAUUUCCACACUCACUCCUUCUUUGAUCUUCCCCUACACUAACAAUAUAUGUAAUAUUAUCCCCAUUUUUAGAUGAAGACUCAGCUAGGCUGUUAGUUGCCCAGCUGGUAGCUGGUGGUGCUUGGUUUUGAACUGAUAAUGGUGAUAAGUGUUGUGGUAGUGACACUCUGUACCAGCGUGUGCCAGGUACUUUUUGACAUUUGCUCUAAAGUUCACAACAAGGUAUGCUUAUCCCCAUUCUACAUAAGAGGGAACUGCUACCCAUGGUCACACAGCCAGUGAGCAGAAAAGCUCACAUCUGAACGCAGGCUGGACUCUGGAGCCCCUCCCUGUCCCUGUACCACUUUGCCUGAGAUAUAUGGACCCUUUUCUGAACACUCUGUAGGUUUCUUUGUAUGUGGCAGCCACAUUUCUCAGUGAGAAGAUACUGAAAUUUAACUUCUGGGAUUUUGAUUAAAAUCCUGGUUUAAUAACACCAUAUUUUGCUGAGUAGAAACUGAGCACAAGCCAACAGUUUAACGUGGCUGUUAUAAAAAAAGCUAAUAAAUUUUGGUUUCACCUUCCUAGAAACUGGAUUAUAUGGAAAAUGCAAGGUGAAACUGGGGAAGAUUGUCAUGGAGAACAUAGGGCUGAGGUGGGCUUUAAUCACUCUUUCCAGUGUGAAGGAUUGUGAUGCAGAAGAGAAGCUGGGCAGUGUGUACGCAGUGCUAAGAACAGCUAGUGAAUAAUCAGAUGCUGUUAUUACCACUACUGUCAUGCUAGAAAGCAGAAGUAGAUCAGUGGGUGUUAAAUGUAAAAGAAUUCAGUAUGUGGAAGAACUCAGUGAAAGAGAAGAACUUUGUGAUAACCAAUGCUAUGUCUCAGUGGAAUGCAUUUCCUUAGAAAUUAAUGGACAGCUCUUCACUGGAGUGUUCUAACACAUCAUAGAAAUCUGGAAGGGAAGUGCAGGGACGUGGUGUUGGGUGACUUUAGGUUCCCUCCAGUAUGUAAAGUGACAUUAUUCUCUAUUGUAAAACUCUCUAUAUGUAAAUUUCUUACCUCUAAUUUGAGAGCUCAUUCCAAGCCCAACCCUAGCAUUAUUUUUUAUGUCCCUAUCUGUGCUGUGCCUUUGUGACAGCUGCUGUCAUGUGGGGCUGUCAUAAUCUGAGGGCAUGUCUCUCCCCCACGGGACUGUGACUCUUACUCAUCUUUGUAUCUCCGGUUCCUAGCACGGAGGACAUAGUAAGGGCACUAAACAGAUUUAUUGAGAGAAUGACUGAAUCUCAACAAUGGUUUAAAGGCUUUUAAUGUUUAACUGGGUUCUCUGCUUCAUACUCUGUUAUAUUUUUAUCAGCAAUAAUGUAACUCUUAAUAAAAGGUCUUUCCUGUAUUUUCUGGGGAUUGGACUGUGGUACCUCUGCCCACCGACUUUUGCUAAUUUUGGGGAGAGUGUGGAGACUUGUGCCUCUCAGUACAAAUUUGUUUUUCCACACAGGACUAAUAAAAAUAGUCAUUAAUAGGUGUUGUUUCUUCUAGCCCAGAGAUGACACUAAUGAUUUCUUGAAAAAUUCAUUAUUGGAAUCUGAUAGUGCUUUUAUUGGUGCAUAUGGCGAGACGUAUCCUGCCAUCGAGGAUGACAUCCUCUCUCCACCGUCACAGCUGCUGUCUGCGAGGGAGCGCAGGAG
Hippopotamus amphibius kiboko is the source of this 5084-nucleotide RNA transcript. It is a transcript of the gene named centrosome and spindle pole associated protein 1, with no coding region annotated. NCBI's taxonomy places the organism in Eukaryota, Metazoa, Chordata, Mammalia, Artiodactyla, Hippopotamidae. The record is from RefSeq and is a predicted model, not a curated record. The transcript is spliced from 29 exons.